Molecule: long non-coding RNA, 1106 nt
Organism: Phaethon lepturus (White-tailed tropicbird)
Lineage: Eukaryota; Metazoa; Chordata; Aves; Phaethontiformes; Phaethontidae
Exons: 2
Source: RefSeq, a predicted model, not a curated record
GGAUGCUGAUGUUUCUAAUCAGAUAAUCCUUGUAGAGGACGUGCUGGCCAAGCUGUGUAAAACGGUGUAUCCACUAGCAGAUCUCUUAGCUAGGCCUCUACCUGAGGGAGUUGAUCCACUGAAACUUGAAAUUUAUCUUUCAGAUGAGGACUUUGGGGUGGCAUUAGAGAUGACAAGAGAAGAGUAUAAUGCACUGCCAUCUUGGAAGCAGGUUAAUCUGAAGAAGGCAAAAGGACUUUUCUAAGUUGUGUUUAUUGGAGUGAGCACUGAAGGGAUGUCUGUUUUCACUUUCUAUGCCCUUUAGAAGAAUUGUACCCCACAUUUGCAAAAUAAAUAGAAAUAAUCUGAAGUUAUUAGUGACUACCUAUCUGGAGGUGUGUAAUAUCAUAAAAGGCCGAGAGAACUCUUUGGAAAUGGAAUUUGGUUUUGACUGUUAAAGGUAAUGUGUUUAAGUUCUGCUCUCCUAUGCACUUAAACAGUAGUUUCUUGAGCUACUGCUGCAGGUGUCCUUUGACUAUAUACAAUACUUGCCAUUUUUGUUUUUGAAGAAGUUCUCUUUGUAAAGUGUUAUUUUGUUAGUUUGUGGAUUACAAAGAAUUUAUAUUUAUAUAAACACAUAGAACAAGUAUGUAUUUAACAAUGCAAUAUAUAUUCACUUUCAAGACUUUCAUGUCAAAACUACAGAAAAGUAGCUGGAUGGCAGUUGCUUGUACUGAAUUAGCUAUACCACCAAUAUGUAUCUCUUGCGCAUUCUGAAAAGUUUAUCUUGCAAUAGUUAAUGAAUUGUUCUCAGUGCUGCUUCAGGUGCUAAACUGAACAAAGCGUUUGUAUUUAUAGCAUGGAUUUCUUGAGAAACUAUGCGAAUCAACCUUUAUACUUUAUUAUCCAAAAAUGUAUAGUGCCUUGUUUUUUGUGUACAGUUUAUAUACAAAAAAAAAAAAGAUUGGUCUGCAUUUUGAAGAUAGCUUAGAACAGUCCUCUAUGUUACUUUUAUAAUAGUAGAAAUAAAAACAUCUCAGUUUCUAAUACUUGUUGUAAACAUUAAACAUGUCUUUUGUGAUAUAAGAACUGAAAGUAAAAGCUUCUGAAUAAACUCUUAGCGAUGC